Molecule: ribosomal RNA, 484 nt
Filed under: uncultured bacterium
Lineage: Bacteria
Description: partial 16S ribosomal RNA
Rfam family: Bacterial small subunit ribosomal RNA
Source: RNAcentral
AUUGAACGCUGGCGGCAGGCCUAACACAUGCAAGUCGAGCGGAUGAAGGGAGCUUGCUCCUGGAUUCAGCGGCGGACGGGUGAGUAAUGCCUAGGAAUCUGCCUGGUAGUGGGGGAUAACGUCCGGAAACGGGCGCUAAUACCGCAUACGUCCUGAGGGAGAAAGUGGGGGAUCUUCGGACCUCACGCUAUCAGAUGAGCCUAGGUCGGAUUAGCUAGUUGGUGGGGUAAAGGCCUACCAAGGCGACGAUCCGUAACUGGUCUGAGAGGAUGAUCAGUCACACUGGAACGGAGACACGGUCCAGACGCCUACGGGAGGCAGCAGUGGGGAAUAUUAGACAAUGGGCGAAAGCCUGAUCCAGCCAUGCCGCGUGUGUGAAGAAGGUCUUCGGAUUGUAAAGCACUUUAAGUUGGGAGGAAGGGCAGUAAGUUAAUACCUUGCUGUUUUGACGUUACCAACAGAAUAAGCACCGGCUAACUUCGUG